Long non-coding RNA from Zingiber officinale, 870 nucleotides. RefSeq lists it as uncharacterized. The record is from RefSeq and is a predicted model, not a curated record. Lineage: Eukaryota; Viridiplantae; Streptophyta; Magnoliopsida; Zingiberales; Zingiberaceae. The transcript is spliced from 3 exons.
GUUAUAAUUUUUAUUCGGAGCGGACGGCCGGAGGCCGCCCGAAGCCCUCCGGUGAUGGAUAAGUGGUUAGAUUACUGGGUGCCGAGCGAGGGUGCCCUCCGGGUAACCUCCGACUACCUGCUUCGAACAAAAAUUAUAACCUGAUUGAGACGAUGAACCUAAGAAGGGAUCGCAAUAAUUUACGAUCAUGAUCCGACCACAAAUGCGAGUGGCACAUCCUAACCACAAGGUCCAGAUCCUGCCUCGCGUUUUGGUCGUCUGCUAAGCUCCUGUGAGGCCGAGCCGGAGUGACAUCGGAAGAAGAGGCGAAAUGGUGCAGAGGUUAACGUAACGGCAUAGCAAUGCUACCAAAUCGAAUCAGACUCCUGUCGUCAAAACUCCAGGUGGGAAGCUCGUGUACCAGUACACGCACAAGAUGGCCAGCGGACCGAAAUGCCCUGUGACUGGGAAGCGAAUUCAAGGGGGUGUAAUAUUUGAAUGUGCUACAGCAAUUCUUCUUUCGUUUUUACAAGAGUAAUGUUCUUCUCUGGUUUUCACAAAAAUCUACCUCAUUCGGUACAUUCUUCCAUAUUCACAAGUAAGAUUUGUAUUGAUAAUUUUAUAUGAAUAAUUAAGAUUAUUAAGGAUAACCCUUAACCAAACACAUCCUCAAAGUAUUUGAGCUUUCUUGGUCGAAGAGCAGAAGAUCGUCAAGAAGGCGCUGAAGAUCCAGAAGGCGAAAGAGCGGCAAGUCUCCAAGAGCUAAGCCAUCCGUAAACCGGAAACUCGGAAUGGUUUCUGUUAUUUUGAAUCUAGAAAUUUUGUUUUCACUCUGUUGUUAUGUUUGCUACAAACUUUAAAGGCACUGGUUGGUUAAAUUGCCGGCGUUUA